RNAcentral lists this transfer RNA (65 nucleotides) under Dipodomys ordii (Ord's kangaroo rat). It matches the Rfam family "tRNA". Rfam says of the family: Transfer RNA (tRNA) molecules are approximately 80 nucleotides in length. Their secondary structure includes four short double-helical elements and three loops (D, anti-codon, and T loops). Lineage: Eukaryota; Metazoa; Chordata; Mammalia; Rodentia; Heteromyidae. The record is from Rfam by way of RNAcentral.
GGUGGCUCAGUGGUAGAGUGCUUGCCUCACAAGCAUGAGACCCUGGGUUCGAUUCCUCAGCACCA